This 497-nucleotide ribosomal RNA is filed under the name uncultured bacterium. RNAcentral's name for it is "partial 16S ribosomal RNA". It matches the Rfam family "Bacterial small subunit ribosomal RNA", at positions 28 to 507 of the family's 1533-position model. The record is from RNAcentral.
GAUGAACGCUGGCGGCGUGCCUAAUACAUGCAAGUCGAGCGAACGGACGAGAAGCUUGCUUUUCUGAUGUUAGCGGCGGACGGGUGAGUAACACGUGGAUAACCUACCUAUAAGACUGGGAUAACUUCGGGAAACCGGAGCUAAUACCGGAUAAUAUUUUGAACCGCAUGGUUCAAAAGUGAAAGACGGUCUUGCUGUCACUUAUCGAUGGAUCCGCGCUGCAUUAGCUAGUUGGUAAGGUAACGGCUUACCAAGGCAACGAUGCAUAGCCGACCUGAGAGGGUGAUCGGCCACACUGGAACUGAGACACGGUCCAGACGCCUACGGGAGGCAGCAGUAGGGAAUCGUCCGCAAUGGGCGAAAGCCUGACGGAGCAACGCCGCGUGAGUGAUGAAGGUCUUCGGAUCGUAAAACUCUGUUAUUAGGGAAGAACAGAUGUGUAAGUAACUGUGCACAUCUUGACGGUACCUAAUCAGAAAGCCACGGCUAACUACGUG